GAUGAACGCUGGCGGCGUGCCUAAUACAUGCAAGUCGAGCGAACAGACGAGGAGCUUGCUCCUCUGACGUUAGCGGCGGACGGGUGAGUAACACGUGGAUAACCUACCUAUAAGACUGGGAUAACUUCGGGAAACCGGAGCUAAUACCGUAUAAUAUAUUGAACCGCAGGGUGCAAUAGUGAAAGUCGGUGGUGCUGGCACGUAUAGAUGGAUCCGCGCCGCAUUAGCUAGUUGGUAAGGUAACGGCCUACCAAGGCAACGAUGCGUAGCCGACCUGAGAGGGUGAUCGGCCACACUAGAACUGAGCCACGGUCCAGACUCCUACGGGAGGCAGCAGUCGGGAAUCUUCCGCAAUGGGCGAAAGCCUGACGGAGCAACGCCGCGUGAGUGAUGAAGGUCUUCGGAUCGUAAAACUCUGUUAUUAGGGAAGAACAAAUGUGUAAGUAACUAUGCACGUCUUGACGGUACCUAAUCAGAAAGCCACGGCUAACUACGUG
RNAcentral lists this ribosomal RNA (497 nucleotides) under uncultured bacterium. RNAcentral's name for it is "partial 16S ribosomal RNA". It matches the Rfam family "Bacterial small subunit ribosomal RNA", at positions 28 to 507 of the family's 1533-position model. The record is from RNAcentral.